Non-coding RNA from Odocoileus virginianus texanus, 2823 nucleotides. The record is from RefSeq and is a predicted model, not a curated record. NCBI's taxonomy places the organism in Eukaryota, Metazoa, Chordata, Mammalia, Artiodactyla, Cervidae.
AGGUCGGGGAGAAAAGAGUACGGAGGGGAGAGGCGGCGACCAGAGGGUGGGGAGCUACGGUUCCUGUCAUGUGACCCCCUCCCCUCGACUCUCUCGCAGCCCUGCCCGGCGUGGCGGGAGCCAGUCGGAGGACGGUCUCCUCCCGGGACUUGGUCUCCGGGCCCCAGGAUUUCUCUUCAUCACUGACCAUGCCAGGGCCAAGACUGUGAGGUUCCCUCAACAACAACCCCACAUCUCUCCCAGGAAGUGGCGCAUUGCUGCCCCAACUUCCACCCCACCGCAGAGAUGCAGAGGCAGUGGUCGGUGCAGGCCCCCGGGGAGCCAGAAGCCGAGCCAGGGGGCGAGGAGCUAUGGGAGCAGGAGAUGGCGCGGCUGUGCCUCUCCCAGCAGCCGGUGCGGGUGCUGCCCUACGCCAUGGUGGACAAGCGUUUUAUCCGGCAGCUGCGGGAGCCCGAGGGAGUGAAGACCUCCUGCUGGCAGCAGUGGCGUCGCAGGCGGCAGACUGCGGGCCGGCGACUGGGGGAGGCAGUUCGGCGGCUGACCCGGGGCUGUGGGCUCUGGGAGGGGGCUCUCUACGAGAUCGGCGGCCUCUUUGGCACUGGAAUCCAGUCCUAUUUCACCUUCCUUCGCUUCCUGCUGCUACUUAACCUGCUGACCCUGCUUCUGACCAGCAGCUUCGUCCUGCUGCCCCUGGUCUGGCUCCGGCCCCCUGACCCAGGACCAGCUCUGAACUUCACUCUCCAGUGUCCUGGUAGUGGCCACCUACCCCAGACCGGUGUUUCCAAGUUCAACAAUCUACUCUGGAAUGUUUUUACCGGCAGGGCCUUCAACAACACCUAUCUCUUUUACGGAGCGUACUGGUCGGGGCCCGAGAGCGGCUGGACAUACAGCAUCCGCCUGGCCUACCUCCUGAGCCCACUGGCCUGCCUGCUCCUCUGCUUCUGCGGGAUUCUGCGGCGGAUGGUGAAGGGGCUGCCACAGAAGAUGUUCCUGGGCCAGGACUACCGGUCGCCUCUCAGUGCCAAGGUCUUCUCGUCCUGGGACUUCUGCAUCCGGGGGCAGGAGGCCGCCACCAUCAAGAGGCAUGAGAUCAGCAAUGAAUUCAAGAUGGAGCUGGAGGAGGGGCGUCACUUGCUGCUGCUGCAGCAGCAGACCCGAGCUCAGAGGGCCUGCCACCUGCUCACCUACCUGCGGGUCAACGUCCUCAUCGGGCUCCUGGUGGUUGGAGCCAUCAGCGCCAUCUUCUGGGCCACCAAGUACUCGCAGGACAACAAGGAGGAGUCCUUGUUUCUGCUGCUCCAGUACCUGCCCCCUGGGGUCAUCGCACUGGUCAACUUUCUGGGUCCCCUGCUGUUCGUUUUCCUGGUCCAGCUGGAGAACUAUCCUCCCAACACUGAGGUCAACCUCACCCUUAUCUGGUGUGUGGUGCUCAAGCUGGCCAGCCUGGGAAUAUUCUCCUUCUCACUGGGCCAGACUGUGCUGUGCAUCGGCAGAAACAAGACCAGCUGUGAGUCCUACGGCUACAACGCCUGUGACUACCAGUGCUGGGAGAACUCCGUGGGGGAGGAGCUAUACAAACUCAGCAUCUUCAACUUUCUUCUCACCGUGGCCUUCGCCUUCCUUGUCAGCCUGCCUAGGAGGAUGUUGGUGGAGCGGUUCUCAGGCCGGUUCUGGGUUUGGCUGGACCGAGAGGAGUUCCUGGUGCCCAAGAACGUGCUGGACAUCGUGGAGGGGCAGACGGUCACCUGGAUGGGCCUCUUCUACUGCCCCCUGCUGCCCCUGCUCAACAGCGUCUUCAUCUUCCUCACCUUCUACAUCAAGAAGUACACCCUGCUGAGGAACUCCAGGGCGUCCCCUCGGCGAUUCCGCGCCUCCAGCUCCAUCUUCUUCUUCCAGCUGGUGCUCCUCCUGGGCCUGCUCCUGGCCGCCGCGCCCCUGGGCUAUGUGGUCAGCAGCAUCCGCUCCUCCUGGGACUGUGGCCUCUUCGCCAACUACUCGGCCCCCUGGCAGGUGGUCCCUGAGCUGGUGGCCCUCUGGCUCCCACUUUCCAGCCAGCGCAUCCUCCACUACCUGGGCUCCCACGCUUUCAGCUUCCCGCUCCUCACCCUGCUCAGCCUUGUCCUGACCGUGUGCGUCUCCCAGUCCCAGGCCAGUGCCAGAGCCAUCCGGAGACUGCGGAAGCAGCUGGUGUGGCCACCAGCAGCUCCUCACAGGAGAGAGGAGAGUUGCCCAGCACACUGCGGGGAGGAGUACCCCCAGCUGGGGACCCUGGCGUCAGGCCCCCGCCUGUGGCAGAGACCUUGGCUGGCAGGGUGAGAGGUUGUUGCUGGAGAGCUGCACCAGGAAGCCACCUUCGUGCUGGUUGGUAUCCUCAUCUCCAUCAUAGCCUUCUUUUCUUGGAAACUGAUGUGGACCAAGCAAACCAGUUUCAGGAGGAAGCAACAAAGAAAAAAAAGAACCAGUUAACACCAACAAGACCCAAGAUGGCAGAGGAUUAGACUUCCAAUGGAUCUAGAGCUUAUUAUACACUCUAUACAUUAACUCUAGAAGACAUACCCACCCGCGCUAGGAUGGUUGACAAUCACCAUGACGAUAACUGGAAAAGCCCCCACAAGGACUGAAAAGGAGAGCUGCACCAGUUUCAGGUCCAAACCACACCCCUGUUCUUGGAUAAAAUGUUCCUCUUGCUCUUCCAAACCCUCCCUUUUACUCCAACCAUCCUAUAUAUUUAGUGUCUCCAUCUGAAUUGGCUUGAAUUGAUUUACAAACUAGGUUCCCACUUCAGUCUUUGGCCAUUGAAUAAAGCUGGUGCUGUUCCAGUCA